Molecule: long non-coding RNA, 309 nt
Filed under: Daucus carota (carrot)
Lineage: Eukaryota; Viridiplantae; Streptophyta; Magnoliopsida; Apiales; Apiaceae
Description: long non-coding RNA (DCAR_LNC002043)
Source: RNAcentral
AACAUUCGGGCUUAUCAUGAUUAGUGCUAGACAAAGAAGGAUUUGUUUUAGGAAUCGACUCCUCAUUUUCAUUAACGUUCUCACCAACUUUGUUAUCCACUUGGUUUCCCGACCUUAGAGAAAUAAUCGCAUUAACAUUCUCGGGAGGUCUUUGAUUGAGAGGAAACUUAGGAUUGACCUCGGGUUGACUUGGGAAUUUGUUCUUCUCUCGCUCACACAAUGCGCUAGCUAAUUGACUCAAUUGCGCCUCUAAUUUAGACACGGCUUGCACAUUAGAAUGCAAAAUUUGCCUAUCUUGGGUUAGGGUUG